UGUAAGCGUAUACCAAAGUUGUUGCAGUUAAAACGCUCGUAGUCGGAAUUUGGCAGUUCCGGAAGUGUGCACGUCGUGUGCGCACUUUGCGGGGACUGCUUUUGUGGUCUUGCGUAGGAUGAGGCACGUUCAUUAGUGAACGUCCUCACGCAACCACUCUUUACUGUGAGAAAAUCAGAGUGCUCAAAGCAGGCAUUUGCCGUGAAUGUAUUAGCAUGGAAUAAUAGAAUAGGACUCGGUUCUAUUUUGUUGGUUUGUUGGGACUGAGUAAUGAUUAAGAGGGACAGUUGGGGGCAUUUGUAUUCCGGCGCUAGAGGUGAAAUUCUUAGAUUGCCGGAAGACAAACUGCUGCGAAAGCGUCUGCCAAGGAUGUUUUCAUUGA
This 382-nucleotide ribosomal RNA is filed under the name uncultured eukaryote. Its description in RNAcentral is "partial 18S ribosomal RNA". It matches the Rfam family "Eukaryotic small subunit ribosomal RNA", at positions 592 to 976 of the family's 1831-position model. The record is from RNAcentral.